Molecule: ribosomal RNA, 297 nt
Filed under: uncultured bacterium
Lineage: Bacteria
Description: partial 16S ribosomal RNA
Rfam family: Bacterial small subunit ribosomal RNA
Source: RNAcentral
GACGAACGCUGGCGGCGUGCUUAACACAUGCAAGUCGAGCGGUAAGGCCCUUUCGGGGGUACACGAGCGGCGAAACGGGUGAGUAACACGUGGGUGACCCUGCCCUCAGCUCUGGGAUAAAGCCUGGGAAACUGGGUCUAAUACCGGAUAUGACUCCAUGACGCAUGUUGUGGGGUGGAAAGCCUUGUGCGGCUGAGGAUGGGCCCGCGGCCUAUCAGCUUGUUGGUGGGGNGAUGGCCUACCAAGGCGACGACGGUAGCCGGCCUGAGAGGCGACCGGCCACACUGGGACUGAGAC